AACGAACGCUGGCGGCGUGGAUAAGGCAUGCAAGUCGAACGGGAGCUCAUGGGUAGCAAUAUUCGUGAGUUCUAGUGGCGAAAGGGUGCGUAACACGUAGCUUACCUACCUCAAAGUGGGGGACAGUCCCGCGAAAGCGGGGUUAAUACCGCAUGUGAUCGAGAGAUCAAAGCCGGGGAUUCGCAAGGACCUGGCGCUUUGAGAUGGGGCUGCGGCCUAUCAGGUAGUUGGCGGGGUAAUGGCCCACCAAGCCUAAGACGGGUAGCUGGUCUGAGAGGACGACCAGCCACACUGGAACUGAGACACGGUCCAGACACCUACGGGAGGCAG
This 330-nucleotide ribosomal RNA is filed under the name uncultured Verrucomicrobiota bacterium. RNAcentral's name for it is "bacterial SSU rRNA". It matches the Rfam family "Bacterial small subunit ribosomal RNA", at positions 29 to 351 of the family's 1533-position model. The record is from RNAcentral. Lineage: Bacteria; Pseudomonadati; Verrucomicrobiota.